Osmia lignaria (orchard mason bee) is the source of this 685-nucleotide non-coding RNA. The record is from RefSeq and is a predicted model, not a curated record. Lineage: Eukaryota; Metazoa; Arthropoda; Insecta; Hymenoptera; Megachilidae.
CAUACGCAGGCGACUUUCUAAACUUCCGUCGCGCACGUAUACGCUUUAUUUUUCAUUGUUCACCUUCAGCGUGUCACGUUGGAAAGAUUGGAAGAGAAUUUGCCUCGUUAAACACUACCGUGACAUACCGAUGUCUCUAAUAACGCUACGAAAACACCCGAUCGUGGCGCGUCGCGGACCGAACACGCCCGAAGGGAAAUAAAACGCGAAGAAUACAUACAUACGUGGAACGUAUUUGAGUAACAAUAACACGAAUGAUGAUGAAUGAGAGAGGAGAUUCUCAAGUGAAAAUGCGUUCAGUUUUUGACCGUAGUGGCCACGCUAACGCACGCUAGUGACGCGCCACGGCGUCGUUACUGCACACGUGUAUUUACUAUUUAUGACAAAGGGGACGAGAAUAAACCAACCGUUAUUUGCCGUUCGUGCCAAACGCCGUGCAGCUCUUACACGCUACUCGCAUUCUUAAUUGCGCCAGUAGUAAAUGCGUAUUUUUCACUCACCAGAAACGUAAUCUGGAUCGGGUACUGGGUUGUAUUCGUCCAAAAGCAACAAUCCUCUUAUAACACAAAAAAAUUCCUCUACGGUGGCACGGAACGAACGUUAAAACACAGAAAAGUAACACUAAAAAACACCACCGAAUACACUGUCCUGUUGGAAUCUGAAUCACGGCACAAAACAAAAAAAA